UUAACCGAAUAGGGGAGCCGGAGGGAAACCGAGUCUUAAUUGGGCGUUAAGUUGCAGGGUAUAGACCCGAAACCCGGUGAUCUAGCCAUGGGCAGGUUGAAGGUUGGGUAACACUAACUGGAGGACCGAACCGACUAAUGUUGAAAAAUUAGCGGAUGACCUGUGGCUGGGGGUGAAAGGCCAAUCAAACCGGGAGAUAGCUGGUUCUCCCCGAAAGCUAUUUAGGUAGCGCCUCGUGAAUUCAUCUCCGGGGGUAGAGCACUGUUUCGGCUAGGGGGCCAUCCCGACUUACCAACCCGAUGCAAACUGCGAAUACCGAAGAAUGUUAUCACGGGAGACACACGGCGGGUGCUAACGUCCGUCGUGAAGAGGGAAACAACCCAGACCGCCAGCUAAGGUCCCAAAGUCAUGGUUAAGUGGGAAACGAUGUGGGAAGGCCCAGACAGCCAGGAUGUUGGCUUAGAAGCAGCCAUCAUUUAAAGAAAGCGUAAUAGCUCACUGGUCGAGUCGGCCUGCGCGGAAGAUGUAACGGGGCUAAACCAUGCACCGAAGCUGCGGCAGCGACGCUGAUGCGUUGUUGGGUAGGGGAGCGUUCUGUAAGCCUGUGAAGGUGGCCUGUGAGGGUUGCUGGAGGUAUCAGAAGUGCGAAUGCUGACAUAAGUAACGAUAAAGCGGGUGAAAAGCCCGCUCGCCGGAAGACCAAGGGUUCCUGUCCAACGUUAAUCGGGGCAGGGUGAGUCGACCCCUAAGGCGAGGCCGAAAGGCGUAGUCGAUGGGAAACGGGUUAAUAUUCCCGUACUUGGUGUUACUGCGAAGGGGGGACGGAGAAGGCUAUGUUGGCCGGGCGACGGUUGUCCCGGUUUAAGCGUGUAGGCUGGUUUUCCAGGCAAAUCCGGAAAAUCAAGGCUGAGGCGUGAUGACGAGGC
This 926-nucleotide ribosomal RNA is filed under the name Salmonella enterica subsp. enterica serovar Kentucky. RNAcentral describes it as "bacterial LSU rRNA". It matches the Rfam family "Bacterial large subunit ribosomal RNA", at positions 646 to 1575 of the family's 2925-position model. Lineage: Bacteria; Pseudomonadati; Pseudomonadota; Gammaproteobacteria; Enterobacterales; Enterobacteriaceae. The record is from RNAcentral.